GGAGUUUCGUGAGUACAGUUACCUUUCUUCUCGCUUCUCUUACGAAGUCUUGUUUGGGUAUCUCAACCCUGUCUAUGGAAUGUUAACGCACUUGCGGUUAGCUUAGCAUAGGCUAGCCGCUAAUUGCCUUUGACUGUUGCUAACCCUGUGCAUCCACCACAACGUGGAUAAGACUUUUCCUGUGGAUGUACUUUGUUCCGUGGAUUACCUUUGUGGAUUACCUUCCUUUGGACUAACUGUUCUAUUGUGGAACGUACUUGUGUUUAUGUGUCUGUUGCAACCCGGCCACUAAAAGGACUUGGGAGCAAGUCCAAGUGAAGCAUAAGAACAUCAUUCAGGCUGCGAACAAGAAAAGGGCAGAUAUGACGAAGACGGGGGGAGGACCCAGAGGUCCCGAGCUAACGCCUGCUGAGGAGCUGGGCCUGGCCAAUAACACACACACACACACACACUGCUGAGGAGCUGGGCCUGGCCAACAACACACACACACACGCACUGCUGAGGAGCUGGGCCUGGCCAACAACGGGGGUAGGCCCAUUAUGCAGGGCAUAGCUGGGGGCAGCUCCUCUGGAGAGGUGGUGGCAGGAUAGAAUCCGUAUGUCCAAGGUAAUUCUAUGAGUUUCCUUCAUAAUUAGUCAUUUGGUUGACCAUCGUCACAUUUGGCAGUGGCCGGAGGUUCAAUCACACUCCUGCAGCCACCUCCCAAUAUGUUGGUCGGGGGAGAGGAGCCCACUGAUGUAAGUUGAUAUUGCUGCAUCAUUGUGUAAUGAUUCUAAACAUGUUUAUUGUGUGUGUCUUUUAAAACCGAAGGCAAUUUUCCACAGUUCCUAAUAAUUCCUAAUUCACUAACAGGAGGUCGGUCUAGACGAUGAGGACACUCUUUCCACCUUCUCCAGCGAUUUGGUCAAUGCAAGUUGUGUUAACUAAUACUCCUAUCCCACUCACUCCUGGCACUCACUACAUCAAUGCAUUCCUUUAGGCAAAUCCUGCUGGACCACGGCCUGAUCCGCCGGAGCCUGGCCCCUCUCGCUCUUCGGGAACUGGGGAUGGGGAGACUGACUAUGAAGAUGUGCGCACGCUAUAUAAGCGCUACUUGCGCGCCAAAAUCAACAACCUCCACUUGAGCUCAAUGAAGCCUAAUGUGGAGGUUAAAUUGCUUAACGUAGACUGAUAUAAUACGUCGGACACAUGUAGAUGUCAUU
This is a long non-coding RNA of Clupea harengus (Atlantic herring), 1202 nucleotides long. Lineage: Eukaryota; Metazoa; Chordata; Actinopteri; Clupeiformes; Clupeidae. The record is from Ensembl.